UACGAAGGGGGCUAGCGUUGCUCGGAAUUACUGGGCGUAAAGCGCACGUAGGCGGCUCUUUAAGUCGGGGGUGAAAUCCUGGAGCUCAACUCCAGAACUGCCUUCGAUACUGAAGAGCUCGAGUCCGGGAGAGGUGAGUGGAACUGCGAGUGUAGAGGUGAAAUUCGUAGAUAUUCGCAAGAACACCAGUGGCGAAGGCGGCUCACUGGCCCGGUACUGACGCUGAGACGCGAAAGCGUGGGGAGCGAACAGG
RNAcentral lists this ribosomal RNA (253 nucleotides) under uncultured bacterium. Its description in RNAcentral is "partial 16S ribosomal RNA". It matches the Rfam family "Bacterial small subunit ribosomal RNA", at positions 524 to 776 of the family's 1533-position model. The record is from RNAcentral.